AGAGCGAACGCUGGCGGCAGGCUUAACACAUGCAAGUCGAACGGACUCUUCGGAGUUAGUGGCGGACGGGUGAGUAACACGUGGGCAACCUGCCCCUCACACUGGGAUAACCUCGGGAAACCGGGGCUAAUACCGGAUACGACCUCGAGCGGCAUCUCUUGAGGUGGAAAGCUCCGACGGUGAGGGAUGGGCCCGCGGCCUAUCAGCUUGUUGGUGGGGUAAUGGCCUACCAAGGCGACGACGGGUAGCCGGCCUGAGAGGGCGACCGGCCACACUGGGACUGAGACACGGCCCAGACUCCUACGGGAGGCAGCAGUGGGGAUAUUGCGCAAUGGGCGAAAGCCUGACGCAGCGACGCCGCGUGAGGGAUGAAGGCCUUCGGGUUGUAAACCUCUUUCAGCAGGGACGAAGCGAAAGUGACGGUACCUGCAGAAGAAGCACCGGCUAACUACGUGCCAGCAGCCGC
Molecule: ribosomal RNA, 466 nt
Filed under: uncultured bacterium
Lineage: Bacteria
Description: SSU rRNA
Rfam family: Bacterial small subunit ribosomal RNA
Source: RNAcentral